Molecule: ribosomal RNA, 499 nt
Filed under: uncultured bacterium
Lineage: Bacteria
Description: partial 16S ribosomal RNA
Rfam family: Bacterial small subunit ribosomal RNA
Source: RNAcentral
GACGAACGCUGGCGGCGUGCUUAACACAUGCAAGUCGAACGGGCCCGCUCUCUUUUUUGGGGGUGGGUUGAGUGGCGAACGGGUGAGUAUCACGUGAGUAACCUGCCCCCUGCUCCUGGAUAACUGCUUGAAAGGGCGGCUAAUACGGGGUGUGCCGGCUGGUCCGCAUGGGCCUGGUCGGGAUAGUUUCAUCUUCGGGUGUUUCGGUGGGGGAUGGGCUCGCGGCCUAUCAGCUUGUUGGUGGGGUGAUGGCCCACCAAGGCGGUGACGGGUAGCCGGCCUGAGAGGGUGGGCGGCCACACUGGGACUGAGACACGGCCCAGACGACUGCGGGAGGCAGCAGUGGGGGGUAUUGCACAAUGGGCGGAAGCCUGAUGCAGCGACGUCGCGUGAGGGAUGGAGGCCUUCGGGUUGUGAACCUCUUUCUCCGGUGGUGAAGGCCCUGUCCGUUGCGGCGGGGUUGACGGUAGCCGGGUAUGAAGCGCCGGCUAACUACGUG